AUCGCUUCUCGGCCUUUUUGGCUAAGAUCAAGUGUAGUAUCUGUUCUUAUCAGUUUAAUAUCUGAUACGUCCCCCUACCCGGGGACUACAUAUUAAAUUGAUUUUUUUGGAUCACGGAGCUGGAGCCGGGGCUUGCUCUGUCCACUCCACGCAUCGGCCUGGUAUUGCAGUGUUUCCAGGAACGGUGUGCUUCCC
Molecule: small nuclear RNA, 195 nt
Organism: Cyprinus carpio carpio
Lineage: Eukaryota; Metazoa; Chordata; Actinopteri; Cypriniformes; Cyprinidae
Gene: U2
Rfam family: U2 spliceosomal RNA
About the family: U2 is a small nuclear RNA (snRNA) component of the spliceosome (involved in pre-mRNA splicing). Complementary binding between U2 snRNA (in an area lying towards the 5' end but 3' to hairpin I) and the branchpoint sequence (BPS) of the intron results the bulging out of an unpaired adenosine, on the BPS, which initiates a nucleophilic attack at the intronic 5' splice site, thus starting the first of two transesterification reactions that mediate splicing.
Source: Ensembl